CCUACGGGCGGCAGCAGUGGGGGAUAUUGCACAAUGGGGGAAACCCUGAUCCAGCGACGCCGCGUGUGGGAAGACGGUCCUCUGGAUUGUAAACCACUGUCCCCAGGGACGAAGAUGACGGUACCUGGGGAGGAAGCUCCGGCUAACUACGUGCCAGCAGCCGCGGUUAUACGCAGGGAGCGAGCGUUGUCCGGAUUUACUGGGUGUAAAGGGAGCGUAGGCGGGGAUGCAAGUUGGGUGUCAAAACUACCGGCUCAACUGGUAGUCGCACUCAGAACUGGAGCUCUUGAGUGCAGGAGAGGCAGGCGGAAUUCCUAGUGUAGCGGUGAAAUGCGUAGAUAUUAGGAGGAACACCAGUGGCGAAGGCGGCCUGCUGGGCUGUUACUGACGCUGAGGCUCGAAAGUGUGGGGAGCAAACAGGAUUAGAUACCCUUGUAGUC
RNAcentral lists this ribosomal RNA (440 nucleotides) under uncultured bacterium. RNAcentral's name for it is "partial 16S ribosomal RNA". It matches the Rfam family "Bacterial small subunit ribosomal RNA", at positions 338 to 795 of the family's 1533-position model. The record is from RNAcentral.